AGUUAUUUAGCUUAUUUAAAGCUUUUAUUUUGAAAAUAAAGAAAAGAUAAUAUAUUUAAUAACUU
Molecule: transfer RNA, 65 nt
Filed under: Ghauriana sinensis
Lineage: Eukaryota; Metazoa; Arthropoda; Insecta; Hemiptera; Cicadellidae
Description: tRNA-Ser
Source: RNAcentral